RNAcentral lists this ribosomal RNA (427 nucleotides) under uncultured bacterium. Its description in RNAcentral is "bacterial SSU rRNA". It matches the Rfam family "Bacterial small subunit ribosomal RNA", at positions 355 to 799 of the family's 1533-position model. The record is from RNAcentral.
UCGGGAAUUUUGGGCAAUGGGCGAAAGCCUGACCCAGCAACGCCGCGUGAAGGAUGAAGUAUUUCGGUAUGUAAACUUCGAAAGAAUAGGAAGAAUAAAUGACGGUACUAUUUAUAAGGUCCGGCUAACUACGUGCCAGCAGCCGCGGUAAUACGUAGGGACCAAGCGUUGUUCGGAUUUACUGGGCGUAAAGGGCGCGUAGGCGGCAAUUCAAGUCAUCUGUGAAAUCUCCGGGCUUAACUCGGAACGGUCAGAUGAUACUGCUUUGCUAGAGUGCAGAAGGGACAAUCGGAAUUCUUGGUGUAGCGGUGAAAUGCGUAGAUAUCAAGAGGAACACCUGAGGUGAAGACGGGUUGCUGGGCUGACACUGACGCUGAGGCGCGAAAGCCAGGGGAGCAAACGGGAUUAGAUACCCAUGUAGUCCCUG